Long non-coding RNA from Ictalurus punctatus (channel catfish), 322 nucleotides. The record is from Ensembl. Lineage: Eukaryota; Metazoa; Chordata; Actinopteri; Siluriformes; Ictaluridae.
CUUCUCUGAGCCUUGAUCCUUGCAGUUGCAGUUCAAGCAAACUGAAAGGACAAGACUCAGAACCUGAGGAUGAGGAAAGGUGACAGUGCCACAUCCAGCUGCUCCUGUGUGUUGCAGCAGCUGUGCAAACCAGACACCCAUCUACACCCAGCCAGCUCCAGUCUCUCCCAUGAUGUCAUUAAUGGGUGAGGUCAGUUCUGUCAGUGUGCAGUGUCCAAUGUGAGUGGAGGUCUAGGAGUCAAGCACGUCCAUCAGAGCACAGGUGCAGUAAGCUUGUAAUGGCAAGAGGAGCAGCUGUGCAAGCUUCCACUUCAAGACCCAG